This 465-nucleotide ribosomal RNA is filed under the name uncultured bacterium. RNAcentral describes it as "partial 16S ribosomal RNA". It matches the Rfam family "Bacterial small subunit ribosomal RNA", at positions 28 to 507 of the family's 1533-position model. The record is from RNAcentral.
GACGAACGCUGGCGGCGUGCUUAACACAUGCAAGUCGAACGGAAAGGCCCUGCUUGCAGGGUACUCGAGUGGCGAACGGGUGAGUAACACGUGGGUGCUCUGCCCUGCACUUCGGGAUAAGCCUGGGCAACUGGGUCUAAUACCGGCUAGGAGCCAUUUUUAGUGUGAUGGUUGGAAAGCUUUUUCGGUGUCGGAUGAGCUCGCGGCCUAUCAGCUUGUUGGUGGGGGAAUGGCCUACCAAGGCGGCGACGGGUAGCCGGCCUGAGAGGGUGGACGGCCACAGUGGGACUGGGAGACGGCACAGACCCCGACGGGAGGCAGCAGGGGGGAAGAGUGAAAAAGGGGAGCAAGCCUGAUGCAGAGACGCCGAGGGGGGGAGGACGGACUUCGGGUUGGAAACGCAUUUCGCUAGGGACGAAGCUUUUUGUGACGGUACCUAGAUAAGAAGCACCGGCUAACUACGUG